UCUAGCAAUAGAUUGCUGACGACCGGCGCACGGUGAGUAACACGUAUCAACCUCCGUUACUCGGGAUAGCCUUCGAAGAAAGAUUAAUACCCGAUAGUAUGUUUUCCCGUCAUGGGAGAACCAUUAAAGUUUUCGGUAAUCGAUGGGGAUGCGUUCCAUUAGGCAGUUGGUGAGGUAACGGCUCACCAAACCUUCGAUGGAUAGGGGUUCUGAGAGGAAGGUCCCCCACAUUGGAACUGAGACACGGUCCAAACUCCUACGGGAGGCAGCAGUGAGGAAUAUUGGUCAAUGGACGAGAGUCUGAACCAGCCAAGUAGCCGUGAAGGAUGACUGCCCUAUGGGUUGUAAACUUCUUUUAUAUGGGAAUAAAGGAGCCUACGUGUAGGUUUUUGUAUGUACCAUACGAAUAAGGAUCGGCUAACUCCGUGCCAGCCGCCGC
RNAcentral lists this ribosomal RNA (439 nucleotides) under uncultured bacterium. RNAcentral's name for it is "bacterial SSU rRNA". It matches the Rfam family "Bacterial small subunit ribosomal RNA", at positions 75 to 518 of the family's 1533-position model. The record is from RNAcentral.